GUGCUCACUUUGACAGCACACACACUAAAACUGUAAUGACACAGAGAAGAUUAGCAUGGCCCCUGUGCAAGGAUGACAUGCAAAUUAUUGAAGUGCUCUGUAUUUUU
This 107-nucleotide small nuclear RNA is filed under the name Phascolarctos cinereus (koala). The record is from RNAcentral. Lineage: Eukaryota; Metazoa; Chordata; Mammalia; Diprotodontia; Phascolarctidae.